UGUGGCUCAGUGGCAGAGCAUUUGCCUAUGACGCAAGAGGCCCUGGGUUCAAUCCCAAGCA
RNAcentral lists this transfer RNA (61 nucleotides) under Heterocephalus glaber (naked mole-rat). It matches the Rfam family "tRNA", at positions 6 to 65 of the family's 71-position model. From Rfam's summary of the family: Transfer RNA (tRNA) molecules are approximately 80 nucleotides in length. Their secondary structure includes four short double-helical elements and three loops (D, anti-codon, and T loops). Lineage: Eukaryota; Metazoa; Chordata; Mammalia; Rodentia; Bathyergidae. The record is from Rfam by way of RNAcentral.